AUCAAACAAAAGAUGAAAAAUCAGCAAGAUACAGGUGCUUAGCUGGAGAGUGAUUAAAAUAUGUAGAACUUACAAAGAUAAAUAUGAAAUAGUUAAUGGAACAACCAGAGACAUUUUCUCAGAAUUGUGUAGGUAUGAGACUUCAAGAUAAAGGGGAUAAGAAGAUGACUGACCCAAGACGGACUUCCAAACUCCAAGAUGAUGACUGGACGAACAAGAGAAGAAUUGAUGAGGAUGUUACAGAAUCACAGACUGGUUGAGGUUGGAUGGGACCUCUGGAGGUAUCUGGUCCAACCACUCUGCUCAAGCAGGGCCAC
Aquila chrysaetos chrysaetos is the source of this 317-nucleotide long non-coding RNA. RefSeq lists it as uncharacterized. The transcript is spliced from 3 exons. The record is from RefSeq and is a predicted model, not a curated record. NCBI's taxonomy places the organism in Eukaryota, Metazoa, Chordata, Aves, Accipitriformes, Accipitridae.